GGGGAGUGAGACUCAACUUAGCUCAAGAACCGCCGGCGGGGUCUGGGUUGGGUCUAGGGGAAAAGGGGAAAAUUACUAGGUUAGGUGGCCUCGUCGCGUCGCCGUAUGGUGAUGUUUCAUCGUCGUCUUCUUCUUCGAGCUCCCUCACUGACGGUCACGGUGUCGUUCUGGUCGUUCUCUCCCUCCCUCGCCCCCCUCGGUACCCCAGGGGCUUCCGCCGGUCCUCGUUCCGCCCGGUCGACCCGCCGUAGACCGCGGCGUCCCAGCCGCGCGGGAAGCGGCGGGAGGAGCAGCGCCGGCAGGAGCAGGAGCAGGAGAAGUGGCCGGCGAAGGGCGUCCCGGGGCUGCGAAGGAGCGCCAAGUGGGGCCAUGUACACCUGCUGAGGUGGGGGGCCUGCCACGCGCUGGCCGGCCAGAGGAGGUGCCUGGUUCUGAACCUCUGUAGACUAAGGAGUUUCGUUCUUCCCCUCUGCAGACUAAGCAGUUUCGUUCUUCUCCUCCCCUCACUGGUUUUUUAACUCGAACUACUUAGAAGGUACCUCCGUUACCUUCUCGUCUUUGUCGGAGGUCUCCUGUGAGGACUCUGGUUUGGUCGUAGAGUUCCGUGAUGAGGUCGGUUGAGGCUGAACCUGCCGCUCCCUCCCUACCGCUGGUGCUGGCGCGGCCUGGUUCUUCUUUCCUUACGUCCUCCUAGACCAAGUCGUGGUAUAUGGUUCACGUGUGGAGGUGGCUUGAGCUGCCAGACGCUGGAGAGGUUGAGUGCGAAGCUGUAGACACUCAACACGCCGCUACGAGCGUGGUAACCAGUCAGCAGGUGACAGUACAUACAGGGUGUGUGUGUUUGAAGGCUGCCACUUCUCACCUCAUAAGCUCGGGUCAGAGCCUUCUUGGAAGGGACCCAGUUCUUCCACUGACAGUUUAGAGACUUAUGGAGCGUUGGUCGUGGUUCCACGUGGAGGUUCAUACGGUACGGUCGGUAACAUAAACGGGAACCACCCGAGUGUCGUUUACACACCGUGCUGAAGUCACUACAGGAACAAGGUGACAAGGAGUGACGGGCGGUCAAGCUGUCCCUACAAGUUGAGGAACACUGUUUGUUGGUUGGGACCAAGUCGUUCUUCAUGUACUGUUAGGACUCGUUUGAGUGUGCUGUGCUGUAGUAUCUAAAACUAAGUCUGCUGGUCCAGUCCACGAUAGGCGUACAGUAACAACCAGACUCCUCGGUACCACUGGAACCGUAGAUAGGUUUGGACAGUGGUGUCUUGAUGUGUUACUACCUGAAGGCCAACAAACAGGCCCCUCGGAUACCAGACGGACGUCGGUUCCACCGGUAAGGGAUGUUCCGACUAUCUCUACUAGGACUGUUCUUCGGGGCGUAUUACGAUUAACUAGCCCCGUUUUGGGCCUCCAAGUAGUUGCGUGGCAUGUAACAGGUUCCCGACCUUACCAAACCAAAACUCCACCAGUUCCAACUGGGCUUCUACCUGAGAUCAGAACUACUUAAGCGGGCGGAACAACUGAGCACGCUACGUUAGUACCCGCGCGUACCGCGCCCGAACUGAUUGUACCACAAGGACGCUAGUCCCCCUCACCACCACGUGUAACACGGCAUACCCUAACUUAAGUACCGACUACCCAAGAUACCUUUUGGCCGUGCCCUGUACCCGGAUCCGGUACAGUCCAUGUCGUAGUCAGGUCUCCUCUCGUGCAACGACCUCUUUAUACCCACCUUGGUAUGACACUAGUUUCUGGGGUUUCGGUAAUCCUCGUCACCUACCCUGUUCCAACCCCUCCAAAUGUACAGGUUCGUCCUGUAACAGGAAUUGUACUGUUCCAAACCCGGACAAAACGACUUCCGUUAUCUAAAAUAGUACAUCCACAUACCCUAAAACCGACGGACAUAGCGAAAUACGUCUCCGACCCCAAUCCAAAACUUUAACAACAAAAACAAUCGAUGUUGUAAAACUGUCAAAAAUGAUCUUUUUCUAUGAAGUGUGAAGUUAACAAAACCCUCUACCACAAAUGACAAGUAGAUCUCGACUACAUAUCCUAACCUACACGUUCUGGAUUAUUUAAUACUACACCUCACGACUCGAGUCAAAAUACAAUGUUAGAACAGGACAAGUAGACAUCAGUAUACAAGCGUCACACUUUACUACACG
RNAcentral lists this ribosomal RNA (2162 nucleotides) under Triticum aestivum (bread wheat). RNAcentral's name for it is "partial small subunit ribosomal RNA". The record is from RNAcentral. Lineage: Eukaryota; Viridiplantae; Streptophyta; Magnoliopsida; Poales; Poaceae.